GGGUUGUGAGGUUAAGCGACUAAGCGUACACGGUGGAUGCCCUGGCAGUCAGAGGCGAUGAAGGGCGUGCUAAUCUGCGAUAAGCGCCGGUAAGGUGAUAUGAACCGUUAUAACCGGCGAUACCCGAAUGGGGAAACCCAGUGUGAUUCGUCACACUAUCAUUAACUGAAUCCAUAGGUUAAUGAGGCGAACCGGGGGAACUGAAACAUCUAAGUACCCCGAGGAAAAGAAAUCAACCGAGAUUCCCCCAGUAGCGGCGAGCGAACGGGGAGGAGCCCAGAGCCUGAAUCAGCAUGUGUGUUAGUGGAAGCGUCUGGAAAGGCGCGCGAUACAGGGUGACAGCCCCGUACACAAAAGCGCAUGUGCUGUGAGCUCGAUGAGUAGGGCGGGACACGUGGUAUCCUGUCUGAAUAUGGGGGGACCAUCCUCCAAGGCUAAAUACUCCUGACUGACCGAUAGUGAACCAGUACCGUGAGGGAAAGGCGAAAAGAACCCCGGCGAGGGGAGUGAAAAAGAACCUGAAACCGUGUACGUACAAGCAGUGGGAGCACCCUUUUGGGUGUGACUGCGUACCUUUUGUAUAAUGGGUCAGCGACUUAUAUUCUGUAGCAAGGUUAACCGAAUAGGGGAGCCG
This 634-nucleotide ribosomal RNA is filed under the name Salmonella enterica subsp. enterica serovar Cerro. RNAcentral describes it as "partial 23S ribosomal RNA". It matches the Rfam family "Bacterial large subunit ribosomal RNA", at positions 1 to 668 of the family's 2925-position model. Lineage: Bacteria; Pseudomonadati; Pseudomonadota; Gammaproteobacteria; Enterobacterales; Enterobacteriaceae. The record is from RNAcentral.